AUUGGCUUCGACGGGGGUCUGGAAGAUCUGAUAAGCGAGUAGAAGGAAGCUGUGGACCUGCUUUAAAAAACUAUGGCAAAACAUAAACGCUGAAGAUAAUUUAGCACUAGCAGCUUAGUCUGCUACGUUCUACCCGGGAUGUCCGCUGCCUGGGACUAGAGCGCCGAAUAGCGGAAAAACGAGUCUGAAUAAGCUUUGCCUCAGAAAUGGAAAAAAUGAAGCUACCAAUGGCCAAGUCUGCAUGUAAACUAAGCCAAAGGGAAUGUUAAUUACAUUGCUACACUCGUAGAAAGUCUUAUCUAACUNNUAAGCCACUUUGGAC
Molecule: transfer-messenger RNA, 322 nt
Filed under: Clostridiaceae bacterium
Lineage: Bacteria; Bacillati; Bacillota; Clostridia; Eubacteriales; Clostridiaceae
Rfam family: transfer-messenger RNA
About the family: Bacterial tmRNA, also known as 10Sa RNA or SsrA, is named for its dual tRNA and mRNA-like properties. Its role is to liberate the mRNA from a stalled ribosome. To accomplish this part of the tmRNA is used as a reading frame that ends in a translation stop signal.
Source: RNAcentral